ACUAAAUGAGGUUCGAUUGAGAUUGCUGCCUUGUGCAGCAACAUCAAACCAACCUACGUCGUGUAGG
RNAcentral lists this small RNA (67 nucleotides) under Pontibacillus yanchengensis Y32. Its description in RNAcentral is "Bacillaceae-1 RNA". It matches the Rfam family "Bacillaceae-1 RNA". The record is from Rfam by way of RNAcentral. Lineage: Bacteria; Bacillati; Bacillota; Bacilli; Caryophanales; Bacillaceae.